This 45-nucleotide non-coding RNA is filed under the name Schistosoma mansoni. Lineage: Eukaryota; Metazoa; Platyhelminthes; Trematoda; Strigeidida; Schistosomatidae. The record is from RNAcentral.
CUCCAGCUGACGAGUCCCAAAUAGGAUGAAACACGCGUCCUGGAU